RNAcentral lists this long non-coding RNA (550 nucleotides) under Phoenix dactylifera (date palm). RNAcentral describes it as "long non-coding RNA (PDAC_LNC021954)". Lineage: Eukaryota; Viridiplantae; Streptophyta; Magnoliopsida; Arecales; Arecaceae. The record is from RNAcentral.
CCCAACUCCACGCUCCCAGUUCCUUCCGCGUCCGAGUACUCUGCGAUCAUCCUUAUCCCAGCAUCUUCUUCUCUUCCACUGCAUCCACGUCAACAGGCAUCCUUCAUUCAUUCCAUCUUCCCGUGUCAUAGCUUCCGAUCCAUAUUCCUAGAUUUCAUGGAAACAAACAGAGCAAGGGAGCUUGAUCUCUAACAUUCACGGAUUAAAACUCCCCAUCCGCGAUCAUCUCCCAGCGUUUGUUCCUAGCAACCCGAGCUUCACGUGCUCUUCCCCUGUUUCGGAACCAAUGCCAGCCAAAACCGAACCUCCACAUCCAAGGAACAGAGCCGUUGGAAAGCUCAAUCCCAUCUUCCCCGUGAUCCACUCAUCUCCCAGGUCUCCCACGAACAGAAUCAAACCAGCCAUUCCCAGCUCAUUCCUCUCGUGUCUUCAUCUCCAAAGCUUUCGGAACAACUCCAUCCUUCCAUUCUCCCGAGCUUCACGGCAUCCCCUGCAUCCCAUACCGACUAAUCCUUAAUCAACCAAAUCCCAAACAACCACUCCCAGAACC